CCACUCUCCAACCUCGAGAUAAGCACUGCAUCUCCUAGGUGUUUGCUGACGAAAUAUCGCCUCCACCAGUUGGCAAACUCUUGUGUACAGUAGUAAGAAAGGUUGAAGUCAAAUGGCUCGAAGCCAUAAACGUUAUCACGACUAAUCUUCAUGUACCUUUCAUACAAAGUGGAAGUCACAGUAGUCCCAAGCACGAUGUUCUUCUUUCUUAUAUACAUGCUCUUUGGUCGAAGCUGUGAAAAGCCAAACUGUCUAGAGACCAAAUUUGGUUGAUACCCAAUUAAUGCAUAUUCAGAAGAUAGGGUACCAAUUCGAA
Molecule: long non-coding RNA, 316 nt
Filed under: Trifolium pratense (red clover)
Lineage: Eukaryota; Viridiplantae; Streptophyta; Magnoliopsida; Fabales; Fabaceae
Description: long non-coding RNA (TPRA_LNC007606)
Source: RNAcentral